GAAAGUAAGCAAGGGCAGACGGUGGAUGCCUUGGCUCUCGGAGGCGAUGAAGGACGUGAUAAGCUGCGAUAAGCUUGGGGUAGGUGCAAAUAACCUUUGAUCCCAAGAUUUCCGAAUGGGGCAACCCGGCUGGUAGAAGGCCAGUCAUUCCGUAAGGAAGGCGAACGUGGGGAACUGAAACAUCUAAGUACCCAUAGGAGAAGAAAACAAAAGUGAUUCCGCAAGUAGUGGCGAGCGAACGCGGAACAGCCCAAACCGAUGAUGUUUAGGCAUUGUCGGGGUAGUAGGACCACGUUGUGGCAAGAGAUUAAGGAAGUAGAACGUUUUGGAACAAACGGCCGUAGACGGUGAAAGCCCAGUAUACGACUCUUUAACGAAGCCUAGUGGAAUCCUGAGUAGCGCGGAGCACGAGAAAUUCUGUGUGAAUCAGCGGGGCCCAUCCCGUAAGGCUAAAUACUCCCGAGAGACCGAUAGCGAACCAGUACUGUGAAGGAAAGGUGAAAAGCACCUCGAACAGAGGAGUGAAAUAGUCCCUGAAACCGUCUGCCUACAAGCGGUCGGAGCAACGUAAGUUGUGACGGCGUGCCUUUUGCAUAAUGAACCUACGAGUUACUUUCUCCGGCAAGGUUAAGGGCUUCAGGCCCGGAGCCGAAGCGAAAGCGAGUCUUAAUAGGGCGUGAUAGUCGGAGUGAGUAGACGCGAAACCAAGUGAUCUACCCUUGGUCAGGAUGAAGGUUGGGUAACACCAACUGGAGGUCCGAAUGGGUAUACGUUGAAAAGUGUUCCAAUGAACUGAGGGUAGGGGUGAAAGGCUAAUCAAACUUGGAGAUAGCUCGUACUCCCCGAAAUGCAUUUAGGUGCAGCCUUUAUUUAGUAUAGCAUGAGGUAGAGCGACUGAUUGGAUGCGAGGGCUUCACCGCCUAUCAAGUCCAGAUAAACUCCGAAUGCGUGCUAUAUAUUGAUAAGGAGUGAGGGCGCGGGUGCUAAGGUCCGCGUCCGAGAGGAGAAGAAUCCAGACCAUCAGCUAAGGUCCCCAAAUAACAGUUAAGUUGAACUAACGAAGUCGGACUGCAGAGACAGCUAGGAUGUUGGCUUGGAAGCAGCCAUUCAUUUAAAGAGUGCGUAACAGCUCACUAGUCGAGGAGUCCGGCGUGGAUAAUACUCGGGCAUAAACUGUUUACCGAAGCUAUGGAUGUAGAAAUACAUGGUAGGGGAGCAUUCCAACGGCGUCGAAGGUGAAGGAUGACCUUUGCUGGAGCUUUUGGAAACGCAAAUGUAGGUAUAAGUAACGAUAAAGGAGGUGAGAAACCUCCUCGCCGAAAGACUAAGGUUUCCUGAUCAACGUUAAUCGGAUCAGGGUAAGUCGGGACCUAAGGUUAAGCCGAACGGCGAUACCGAUGGAAGAAUGGUUUAAUAUUCCCAUACUACUUUAUGGAGCGAUGUGGAGACGGAGAAGUGAAAGUCCUGCCAUCUGACGGAAUAGGUGGUUGAAGAGUGUAGAUGUAGAUUCCUGUAGGCAAAUCCGCAGGGAGAGUCGACCUUGACAGUAUGCCGCGUGCUUGCACAAGGCAAAAUGGACGUAAUCAGGCUCCCAAGAAAAUCCGCUAAGCAUAUUCAUAAAGUACCCGUACCGUAAACGGACACACGUAGUUGGGUUGAAAAUACUGAGGCGCUCGAGUGAUUCACGGUUAAGGAACUAGGCAAAUUGACCCUGUAACUUCGGGAUAAAGGGUCCCUACUGAGAGGUAGGGCGCAGAGAAUAGGUCCAGGCAACUGUUUAACAAAAACACAUGGCUGUGCGAAAUAGAAAUAUGAAGUAUACAGCCUGACACCUGCCCGGUGCUGGAAGGUUAAGAGGAGAGCUCAUCGCAAGAGAAGGCUUGAAUUGAAGCCCCAGUAAACGGCGGCCGUAACUAUAACGGUCCUAAGGUAGCGAAAUUCCUUGUCGGGUAAGUUCCGACCUGCACGAAUGG
Molecule: ribosomal RNA, 1973 nt
Filed under: human gut metagenome
Description: bacterial LSU rRNA
Rfam family: Bacterial large subunit ribosomal RNA
Source: RNAcentral